This is a regulatory RNA element of Beauveria bassiana D1-5, 126 nucleotides long. It matches the Rfam family "RtT RNA". Rfam says of the family: This family represents a bacterial cis-regulatory element known as RtT RNA. The exact function of RtT is unknown although it is thought that it may be involved in changing the cellular response in relation to amino acid starvation. The record is from Rfam. NCBI's taxonomy places the organism in Eukaryota, Fungi, Ascomycota, Sordariomycetes, Hypocreales, Cordycipitaceae.
GCUAUCUGCGAUUCGGGCAGGGUUCGAGCAUGCAGCAGGUUCGAGUCGAACGUAGUGAGACAACGGAGCCGUUUGCGGCGACGGCCCGAAGGGCGAGCACAGCGAGUCAUCCUGCACGACCCACCA